UAGGGAAUCUUCCACAAUGGGCGAAAGCCUGAUGGAGCAACGCCGCGUGGGUGAAGAAGGUCUUCGGAUCGUAAAACCCUGUUGUUAGAGAAGAAAGUGCGUGAGAGUAACUGUUCACGUUUCGACGGUAUCUAACCAGAAAGCCACGGCUAACUACGUGCCAGCAGCCGCGGUAAUACGUAGGUGGCAAGCGUUAUCCGGAUUUAUUGGGCGUAAAGGGAACGCAGGCGGUCUUUUAAGUCUGAUGUGAAAGCCUUCGGCUUAACCGGAGUAGUGCAUUGGAAACUGGGAGACUUGAGUGCAGAAGAGGAGAGUGGAACUCCAUGUGUAGCGGUGAAAUGCGUAGAUAUAUGGAAGAACACCAGUGGCGAAGGCGGCCGCCUGGCCUGUUACUGACGCUGAGGCACGAAAGCGUGGGGGGAGCAAAUAGGAUUAGAUACC
Molecule: ribosomal RNA, 441 nt
Filed under: uncultured bacterium
Lineage: Bacteria
Description: bacterial SSU rRNA
Rfam family: Bacterial small subunit ribosomal RNA
Source: RNAcentral